GGGGAAAUUUAGCCUUAUUCCAACGAUUUUUUAGCAGGCCUCUCUCCAUCGGUAGCAGAGCAGCCACCGCCCCUCCAGUAGCUCACCUCAUCUCAACGCUCCCUCAACGGCGGAAUUGCCGGCGGUACUCUCUCUAUAUGUAAAUGAAAAAAUAUAUAUACAGCGUAGCCACUGUCUCUUCCCUUUCUCUUGCAUCGUUUUAGCAUCUGUUCUUAGGCCCAUGAUAUUCCUAUUUUGAAUUUAAGUGGAUUUUGGCAUUUAGAGCAAAAUAAAAUAAAAUCACACUGAGAAAUGAUGAUCUUCUUCUUCAUUCAGUCAUGCUCAUGAGAUUCUUCGUUUCCUAGAUUUACAAAAAAAAAUUGAUCUUCAUCUUGAUUUAAUCUUGACUAGAGCUAGGUAUUUUUAAUAUUUUUUAAAUAUUUACUACAAUUUGUUUUUGUGUAUGUAUGUGUAUUUUGAUGAAGGAACUAUAUAAAUUGUGUACGUCAACAAUUUGAAUAUUUAUCGAUUUUGUGUUGUGCACAUUUUGCUUGAUUGCAAUCUGAGGAUUAAUAUUUUCUUAUUUAAAUUUUGAAGUUAGAUAUACUUGUAAUGCUUUAUUGAUUAUCCCAAGUAUUUGCUGAAAUUGCAUGUGAAAUCCAAGAACAAAAAAACAGGAUGAAUUCAUUGAUGGCUGAUGUGUUUGAGGUAAUUCUGUUAUCACAGGUGUAAUCAUCAUAUGAUGCUCCCUUGAAGGAGUUUAAUUUUUGUCUUUGUGAUAGGAAAUUAAUUCCUAUCUUGAAAAGGUACUUUUAGAUGGCAGGAAAGGCCUGCUUAAACUAAGUGAUUAAUUGAAAAAAUAGGAUAACUAUUCUCUUGUUCUAUGGCCAUGAUUCUUUAUCUUGGUUAAAACAGGAAUCUGAACCUCCAGACUCUGAUUGUGCAAAUUAAAGCUUAAUACUUUUCCUUGUUGGAGUUAAUUGUCAAGUUAAUGUCUGCAAGAGGGCAUAUUCCACCAUCUUUAGAGGGACGUGUUGUACAAGCUCGUGGGUUGAUGCGACAUGAUCCAUUUCCUCCUGGCCACCAGCCAUUGGACAGAGCUGCUCCUCCAAAUCUUUUAGAGAAUAAGAUUGCUUCUCAGGCAGCUGAGAUUGAACAAUUCGCAGAGGAUAAUCGUAGAUUGGCUAAUGCCCACAUAGCCUUGAGGCAGGACCUUGUUGCUGCACAGCAGGAAGUGGAAAGACUUAAGGCACACAUAAGAAGCAUCCAUACUGAAAGUGAUAUCCAGAUUAGGGUUUUAUCAGAUAAGACUGCAAAAAUGGAAUCAGAAAUAAGGGCUGGUGAGAAUGUGAAGGAGGACCUCAAACAGGCACAUAUGGAGGCACAAAGCCUGGUCAAAGCUGGACAAGAGCUGACUACCCAAAUCCAGAAGGCCUCCCAGGAAUUGCAGAAAGCUCGUACUGAUGUUAAGACUGUACCAGAUUUGCAUGCUGAGCUUGACAAUUUGAGGCAUGAACACAAGAGGUUGCGGGCUACAUUUGAGUAUGAGAAAGGUGUAAACAUAGAAAAGGUGGCACAACUGCAAGCAGCGGAAGAGAAUUUAAUUGGGAUGGCAAGAGAAGUGGAAAAGUUGCAUGCUGAGGUCUUGAACGCUGAAAAGAAAGCACGUGCAUCAAACACCUAUGGCAGUGGGUUCGUGACUCCCGAUCCUUCGUACCCGGCCCCCGUACAUGGUGGUGGUGUCUAUGUUGAUGCAUAUGGAAGGCCUCUUGUUCAGAUGAGUGUUGGGCCACUAGUAAAUAGUGCAGCAAUCACCGGUGCAAUUGGUGGUACAGCUGUCUCUAGUGCUGGUGGUGUUGCUGUCUGGGGAGGGCCUUAUGCUCCAUCAUUUUCUCAGAAAUGAGCAUGAAGCAUAUUUUGUCAGUGGCUGUCAGUAGGCCUUAUGUCUAGCAUUAUGGGCUAACUAUAGUGCCAUUUUGUGCGUGAAUUGCUAGUUGGUGAAUUUGGUGAAAGCUUCCAUGAGAGGCUGUUUCGUAAGCUUCCACUAAUGCUUUGCAUUUCUAAGAUGCAUUGUGUUGGAGUUAACUUUAUUGUAUAUUAUUAGUUUUCUUUGGGCAUCUUUAUUACUGCGUGAAUAUUUUAUCUACAUAAUAAAAAUAUAUGAAAAUUAAAUUUGAUUAAUCAGUGAAGGAGAGGGAUAAAGGGUGAAGCAGUGAAGGUGAAGGAGAAGAACGUGAGGAGGGACAGAUGCUCAGCGGUGGAGACUAGGGAAAGGUGGGAUUGAAGUUUAAAAGGAGGCCUUGGCAAGCUUUGGUGGUCUCGGAUGCAGGGGAAUUUUUAGUUUUUUUCAUUUUUUUACAUUAAAAUAAUAUUAUUUAUAAAUGGCUUUUGAAAAAAUUUCUCGCCUUACUAAUUGCGCGUAAUUUUGAAGCACCAUUAUGUUACAAUUCAGUUGCGAUUUUGGUACGACUUAAUUUAGAUCCUGAUUUUAAAA
RNAcentral lists this unclassified non-coding RNA (2473 nucleotides) under Hevea brasiliensis (rubber tree). The record is from RNAcentral. Lineage: Eukaryota; Viridiplantae; Streptophyta; Magnoliopsida; Malpighiales; Euphorbiaceae.